GGAGGCGUGGCAGAGUGGUCGAUUGCGGCGGUCUUGAAAACCGUUGUACCUUUGCGGGUACCGUGGGUUCGAAUCCUACCGCCUCCGCCA
Molecule: transfer RNA, 90 nt
Filed under: Acidobacteriota bacterium
Lineage: Bacteria; Pseudomonadati; Acidobacteriota
Description: tRNA-Ser
Rfam family: tRNA
About the family: Transfer RNA (tRNA) molecules are approximately 80 nucleotides in length.
Source: RNAcentral